AUGUGGCAAUACGUCUCCAUGCUGGCAAAGAGGAUGUACAGGAGCCACAGGCCCAGGAAGAGUGCAGUGGUGGAGAGCUUGGGUCCACGCGGGUUGCGUGGGUCACCGCCGAUGCGCUGCCAGCGUCGGUACAGCAGCACGGCGAUGCUCACGAAGGCGAAGUCGGUAAAGAGCAUGACGGAGAAGGCCAGCGUGCCUGUGCGCACCUCGAAGGGGCGGCCCUGCACAGCCCAGUACACAGCGGCCACCGACCAGGCCACGCCCAGGCCCAGGAACACGUUCACCGCGUUGGAGCCGGUCACGUUGCCAAUGGACGCAUCAGCGCACUGGUCCUGCAGCGCCGCCACUUUGCUGGCGAACGUGUCAGGGAUGGAGGUGCCCAGGGCCACAAAGACAACAGCGUUGACAGAGUCCUUGAGGCCAACGGUGCAGCCGAAGUGGGAAGCAAGGUCCCCAAUGAGGGAGGUUUGGCCAUGGCACCUUUCUGCUGUGCCUGGAAACCAUUUACCAGAAAGUGACGGGCAAGGAGCUGAGAUACGGCGGCCUGACGGGCAAACCCAGCAUCCUCACUUACCAGUACACAGAGGAGCUGCCCAGAUGACAGGAGGAGAGGUGAGGCUGGGCCGCCCCCAAUCCAGAAGCUCUAUGCUGUGGGGUAGGCUCUACUUCCCCUCCUCCAUCCCUUUCAUGAUGUCCCCUUCCCUCCCUCUCUUCUCUCACCCCCGUUUCCCUGUAUCUGAUUCACUCUUCUGCCCCGAAACUCUUCUCUGCUCCCUUUGCUUUGCAACACUGAGUUAGGGCUUUCUUCUUUUUCCUUUCCCGGUGUGGCUGCCCCUGCCAGGGAUAACCCUAUGCCUGUUGUGUAUGGUGCCAACCUGUUCCACCAAUACCUGCAGAAGGCAACACAUAACGGGGCACCAGAAUUAGGGGCUGGGGGCCCAUGGCAGCAACAGCCCUCAGCAAGCCAGAGCUGCAUCUCCAUCCUGAUGUGCAAGGGCAUGUACAAUCCCAGGGACCUGCAGUCCAUGGAGCCUGUGCUUGGCAGAGAGGAGCCUCCAUUCCAUGGGCACUGAGACUUCUGCUUCAGUUGAGGACUCAUGGAGGCCUCCCAUGUGGUGAAGGAUGUGAAUGAGGCUGUGCAGCUGGUCUUCUACAAGGAGGGCUGGGCUUGGGAGUGAGGGCAGUUUGGUGGAGGUGAGGGGUGAAGCCCUUUGGCUGGGCUCUGGCCCAUCACUGGGCUCAGGUCAGGGCUUGGUUCCCUUGCCACCCUUUCUGCUGCUUCAUGAGUGUGGUGUUACUGGUCACUUGGAAGAAGACAUGGCUCUUUUUCCCUGCUGGGUAGCAUUCUCUAUGUAACUGUUGGAAUUUUCUGGGCCCAGUUCCCAUGUGCCUCUCCUGGCAGUCUAACUUCGGGUCAGUAUCUUCACCCGUGUGCCUCAGUGUCCUUCUCAUUUCAGUAGGGACUUCUGGAAAGGGGGGGCAGUGUGGAAUACUGUGGACGACUCUGCAGAGCCUUUGCCAGCACUGAAUGAGUGUGACCAGUUGGCAGAGUAUCUAACACCAGAUUCUACUUUUCAUUGUAGUUUAUUACCCAGAGAUUUGGAGCUUAUUUUUCAAAAUUAAAAUAAUCAUGAUAAAUAUUCAUGAUGCCCUCUCUUGUGAAGCUCUGUCUGGAGUGCACUC
RNAcentral lists this long non-coding RNA (1683 nucleotides) under Callithrix jacchus (white-tufted-ear marmoset). RNAcentral's name for it is "lncRNA (ENSCJAG00000075215.1)". The record is from RNAcentral. Lineage: Eukaryota; Metazoa; Chordata; Mammalia; Primates; Cebidae.